This 500-nucleotide ribosomal RNA is filed under the name uncultured bacterium. Its description in RNAcentral is "bacterial SSU rRNA". It matches the Rfam family "Bacterial small subunit ribosomal RNA", at positions 26 to 518 of the family's 1533-position model. The record is from RNAcentral.
AGAACGAACGCUGGCGGCGCGUUUAAGCAUGCAAGUCGAGCGGCAAGGGCCUUCGGGCCCUAGAGCGGCGGACGGGUGAGUAACACGUGGACAAUCUGCCCCCCGGCCCGGGAUAGCCCAGGGAAACCUGGAUUAAUACCGGAUGAGACGGGACCCGCGAUGGCGGGACCCGGGAAAGGCGCUGCGGCGCCGCCGGGGGAUGAGUCUGCGUCCCAUUAGCUAGACGGCGGGGUAACGGCCCACCGUGGCGACGAUGGGUAGCCGGCCUGAGAGGGUGGACGGCCACAUUGGAACUGAGACACGGUCCAGACUCCUACGGGAGGCAGCAGCUAAGAAUCUUCCGCAAUGGGCGAAAGCCUGGCGGAGCGACGCCGCGUGAACGAAGAAGGCCGUGAGGUUGUAAAGUUCUUUUCGGGAGGGGGAACAACCGUGGCAGGGAAUGGCCGCGGGAUGACGUGAAUCCCGGAAUAAGCCCCGGCUAACUACGUGCCAGCAGCAGC